This 442-nucleotide ribosomal RNA is filed under the name uncultured bacterium. Its description in RNAcentral is "bacterial SSU rRNA". It matches the Rfam family "Bacterial small subunit ribosomal RNA", at positions 338 to 796 of the family's 1533-position model. The record is from RNAcentral.
CCUACGGGUGGCAGCAGUAGGGAAUUUUCCACAAUGGGCGAAAGCCUGAUGGAGCAACGCCGCGUGCAGGAUGAAUGCCUUAGGGUUGUAAACUGCUUUUAUAUGUGACGAAUAUGACGGUAGCAUAUGAAUAAGGAUCGGCUAACUCCGUGCCAGCAGCCGCGGUCAUACGGAGGAUCCAAGCGUUAUCCGGAAUUACUGGGCGUAAAGAGUUGCGUAGGUGGCAUAGUAAGUAGAUAGUGAAAGCGUGUGGCUCAACCAUACUCACAUUAUCUAAACUGCUGAGCUAGAGGAUGAGAGAGGUUAUUGGAAUUCCCAGUGUAGGAGUGAAAUCCGUAGAUAUUGGGAGGAACACCGAUGGCGUAGGCAGAUAACUGGCUCAUUCCUGACACUAAGGCACGAAAGCGUGGGGAGCAAACGGGAUUAGAUACCCUAGUAGUCC